AACUGAUGGUGGAACAUGAACCUGAGAGUAUCAAGAUCAAUAAGUUAUGUUUUGAGGAUAUUAUUUUUCACAUGUAAAAUAAGCUCUCAUAAGAAACUGCCAUACAAAUAGAAAACACUGAAUGACACAUCCUACAGAUUCAUAAGCAUUAGCAUUAUAGGAACAAAAAUGCCUAAAUGAAAUGGUAGAUUGGUAAUAGAAUAAUGGCUCUUAAAACUUGCACACAAUAUAUGAACAAUGAAUAAGAGCUUCAAGAUGAAAACAAAGCAAAGUGGGAGCUCUAUCGCAGCAUUGUCAAUGUCCCUGAAGGUGUCCGUUAGAUGGAAAUAAAUAAUGGCAUGUCUCAUGUUAUGCAGUGAACAUCUGACGCAAAAUGAUCUAAAUAAAAUCAGUCUCUCCUAAUAUUAUUUUCACUAUAAAAUAU
This 424-nucleotide unclassified non-coding RNA is filed under the name Hevea brasiliensis (rubber tree). The record is from RNAcentral. Lineage: Eukaryota; Viridiplantae; Streptophyta; Magnoliopsida; Malpighiales; Euphorbiaceae.